This 620-nucleotide ribosomal RNA is filed under the name Lactococcus lactis. Its description in RNAcentral is "bacterial SSU rRNA". It matches the Rfam family "Bacterial small subunit ribosomal RNA", at positions 77 to 683 of the family's 1533-position model. The record is from RNAcentral. Lineage: Bacteria; Bacillati; Bacillota; Bacilli; Lactobacillales; Streptococcaceae.
UACUUGUACCGACUGGAUGAGCAGCGAACGGGUGAGUAACGCGUGGGGAAUCUGCCUUUGAGCGGGGGACAACAUUUGGAAACGAAUGCUAAUACCGCAUAAAAACUUUAAACACAAGUUUUAAGUUUGAAAGAUGCAAUUGCAUCACUCAAAGAUGAUCCCGCGUUGUAUUAGCUAGUUGGUGAGGUAAAGGCUCACCAAGGCGAUGAUACAUAGCCGACCUGAGAGGGUGAUCGGCCACAUUGGGACUGAGACACGGCCCAAACUCCUACGGGAGGCAGCAGUAGGGAAUCUUCGGCAAUGGACGAAAGUCUGACCGAGCAACGCCGCGUGAGUGAAGAAGGUUUUCGGAUCGUAAAACUCUGUUGGUAGAGAAGAACGUUGGUGAGAGUGGAAAGCUCAUCAAGUGACGGUAACUACCCAGAAAGGGACGGCUAACUACGUGCCAGCAGCCGCGGUAAUACGUAGGUCCCGAGCGUUGUCCGGAUUUAUUGGGCGUAAAGCGAGCGCAGGUGGUUUAUUAAGUCUGGUGUAAAAGGCAGUGGCUCAACCAUUGUAUGCAUUGGAAACUGGUAGACUUGAGUGCAGGAGAGGAGAGUGGAAUUCCAUGUGUAGCGGUG